CCUACGGGUGGCAGCAGUGAGGAAUAUUGGUCAAUGGACGAGAGUCUGAACCAGCCAAGUAGCGUGAAGGAUGACUGCCCUAUGGGUUGUAAACUUCUUUUAUAUGGGAAUAAAAUGUUCCACGUGUGGGAUUUUGUAUGUACCAUAUGAAUAAGGAUCGGCUAACUCCGUGCCAGCAGCCGCGGUAAUACGGAGGAUCCGAGCGUUAUCCGGAUUUAUUGGGUUUAAAGGGAGCGUAGGUGGAUUGUUAAGUCAGUUGUGAAAGUUUGCGGCUCAACCGUAAAAUUCCAGUUGAAACUGGCAGUCUUGAGUACAGUAGAGGUGGGCGGAAUGCGUGGUGUAGCGGUGAAAUGCUUAGAUAUCACGAAGAACUCCGAUUGCGAAGGCAGUUCACUGGACUGCAACUGACACUGAGGCUCGAAAGUGUGGGUAUCAAACAGGAUUAGAUACCCUUGUAGUC
RNAcentral lists this ribosomal RNA (460 nucleotides) under uncultured bacterium. Its description in RNAcentral is "partial 16S ribosomal RNA". It matches the Rfam family "Bacterial small subunit ribosomal RNA", at positions 338 to 795 of the family's 1533-position model. The record is from RNAcentral.